Anneissia japonica is the source of this 724-nucleotide long non-coding RNA. RefSeq lists it as uncharacterized. The transcript has 2 exons. Lineage: Eukaryota; Metazoa; Echinodermata; Crinoidea; Comatulida; Comatulidae. The record is from RefSeq and is a predicted model, not a curated record.
UGUAUCAAGUCUUUUCAAUUAUCAAUCGUAAUGGUGCUUUGAAAAUUUUGUUUUGUUUUAGGUUGUGGAAGAAUGUGAAAAACAUAGAAUCUAUUUGAUUAUUAUAGUUACAAAUUAGCUUAGUUCCAUUGUAACUCGUUCUUAGGUCAAUUAAGCUAACAUUGUUUCUCUCAAAUCAGCUCUUAAAGACCCCAGUAUUAAAGACCACUUCCAAUUAAAAAACACUUUUCUGUGGUUCCAAAUUAACAAAUAUGUGUUUCAUCUUUAUUAUUCUAAUUAGAGACCAAAGCUGGUAAAGACCAUGGAAGCACCAGUCCUGAAAGUGGUCUUCUAUUCAUUAGAGAAUGAAAAUGAGGGAGGACCGACAUGCGUUUUAUUUGUUGUUCGUACAAGUGUAGCCGCUCAUUCAAAAAUAGCAUGUGGACGACUUUUCAGCUUUGAUUAAUAGCGCCACCAUAGUUUUCUAAAUGCUUAAGAUCAGAAUGAUGUAGUUUAAUUUAACACACGACGUUAUUCAUACGAAUAUACUCAUCUUGAUUGCAAGGCUUUAGGCACAUAAGCACAUUUUGACCAUUGCCGGUAAACAAAUGAUCGACCAAAGAAAACGAUAUUUAUCGUCAUCUUCUCUUUCCUUAUUAUACACUCACUCCGUCACAGUAUGUUGGGACCUGACAUUGAGGAAUAAAAACUUGUAGUGUACAUGACAUGGGCAUCGGAAAUGACA